AAAAAAUUGAACAUGGCUACACCUGAAAAUGAACAUAGCACUUAGUCUUGAUGCAAUUUUUAAUUUUUGAAAAAAUUUUUAGGUGAUUCAGUCUGGACCAAAAAAUUAAGGAAAAAGUCUGCUGACACAGGAGGGAAAUGUGCCAGGCUGAUUUAGUAGGUUUUGGAGAAAGGAUUCAAGAAAAAAAGAUGAAGAAUCAUUCAUUCCUGAAACUACAGCUGACCUUAUGACUCCAGAGGAAAAAGAUAAACUCUUUCCUGCUAUUGGUUAUAGUGAGAACACUUUAACUUAACUUUACCCAAGCAGUAUGUUGCCCACAUAAUGACCCUGAAGUUAGUAAGCGCCUCUGUCACACUCAGAGAAAACAAAAAUAUUCCAGAAAUACUAAAAUUCAGAUAAUUGACCUGGGCACCCAUGUAUCUCAGCGACCAGGAGCACAAGCUCUAAGACAACCAUCAAUGCAGUGCUUGAAUUCUUUCGAUCAAACAAGGGUUUGGAUCUUGAGCAAAUAACAUCAGCUACGUUGACAAAGCUGGAAGAAGUUAAAGCAAGAACAGCUAAGGUGAGUUUGAUUGUCUACAUAAGCAUCAGUUGUAAACAGUAUAUGUAAAGUAGAAUAGGUUGCUUUUUUUCUGUUGUAAACUGGUGUUGUAUUGUUCAGUGGUCA
This 667-nucleotide long non-coding RNA is filed under the name Castor canadensis (American beaver). RNAcentral's name for it is "lncRNA (ENSCCNG00000011861.1)". The record is from RNAcentral. Lineage: Eukaryota; Metazoa; Chordata; Mammalia; Rodentia; Castoridae.